AUACGUAGGUGGCAAGCGUUGUCCGGAUUUAUUGGGCGUAAAGCGAGCGCAGGCGGUUUCUUAAGUCUGAUGUGAAAGCCCCCGGCUCAACCGGGGAGGGUCAUUGGAAACUGGGAGACUUGAGUGCAGAAGAGGAGAGUGGAAUUCCAUGUGUCGCGGUGAAAUGCGUAGAUAUAUGGAGGAACACCAGUGGCGAAGGCGACUCUCUGGUCUGUAACUGACGCUGAGGCUCGAAAGCGUGGGGAGCAAACAGGAUUAGAUACCCUGGUAGUCCACGCCGUAAACGAUGAGUGCUAAGUGUUGGAGGGUUUCCGCCCUUCAGUGCUGCAGCUAACGCAUUAAGCACUCCGCCUGGGGAGUACGACCGCAAGGUUGAAACUCAAAGGAAUUGACGGGG
This 397-nucleotide ribosomal RNA is filed under the name uncultured bacterium. Its description in RNAcentral is "partial 16S ribosomal RNA". It matches the Rfam family "Bacterial small subunit ribosomal RNA", at positions 523 to 918 of the family's 1533-position model. The record is from RNAcentral.